Molecule: ribosomal RNA, 450 nt
Filed under: uncultured bacterium
Lineage: Bacteria
Description: bacterial SSU rRNA
Rfam family: Bacterial small subunit ribosomal RNA
Source: RNAcentral
GUGGGGAAUAUUGGACAAUGGGCGAAAGCCUGAUCCAGCCAUGCCGCGUGUGUGAAGAAGGUCUUCGGAUUGUAAAGCACUUUAAGUUGGGAGGAAGGGCAGUAAGUUAAUACCUUGCUGUUUUGACGUUACCGACAGAAUAAGCACCGGCUAACUUCGUGCCAGCAGCCGCGGUAAUACGAAGGGUGCAAGUGUUAAUCGGAAUUACUGGGCGUAAAGCGCGCGUAGGUGGUUUUGUAAGUUGGAGGUGAAAUCCCCGGGCUCAACCUGGGAACUGCCUCCAAAACUGCAUGACUAGAGUACGGUAGAGGGUAGUGGAAUUUCCUGUGUAGCGGUGAAAUGCGUAGAUAUAGGAAGGAACACCAGUGGCGAAGGCGACUACCUGGACUGAUACUGACACUGAGGUGCGAAAGCGUGGGGAGCAAACAGGAUUAGAUACCCCUGUAGUCC